This 256-nucleotide long non-coding RNA is filed under the name Drosophila guanche. The record is from RNAcentral. Lineage: Eukaryota; Metazoa; Arthropoda; Insecta; Diptera; Drosophilidae.
CUAUGGGUUGCUACGCCUCACUAAUGUUGACCCAAGUCAGAGGUUUUCGGGGCUCGGCGUUUCGGAGCAGAAGAGGGGGGAAUCGAAUUCUACCCCUUGUAGAUUGGGGGAUCACUUCGGUAAUACGCCUCUCGUGAAGCACCCCGUAUAUGCACUUAUGCGCACUUAGGCUGCUAAGAAAGAUAGGGCUCCUGACCUCUGUUCUUGGUUGAUUAUUGUUUUCACUUGGCACUAGCACAGAUCAACACAGAUUCCU